Molecule: transfer RNA, 72 nt
Filed under: Ovis aries (sheep)
Lineage: Eukaryota; Metazoa; Chordata; Mammalia; Artiodactyla; Bovidae
Rfam family: tRNA
About the family: Transfer RNA (tRNA) molecules are approximately 80 nucleotides in length. Their secondary structure includes four short double-helical elements and three loops (D, anti-codon, and T loops).
Source: Rfam by way of RNAcentral
UCCCUGGUGGCUCAGACGGUAAAGCGCCUGCCUACAGUGCUGGAGACCUGGGUUCGAUCCCUGGAUCGGGAA